UUAAGCGACUAAGCGUACACGGUGGAUGCCCUGGCAGUCAGAGGCGAUGAAGGACGUGCUAAUCUGCGAUAAGCGUCGGUAAGGUGAUAUGAACCGUUAUAACCGGCGAUUUCCGAAUGGGGAAACCCAGUGUGAUUCGUCACACUAUCAUUAACUGAAUCCAUAGGUUAAUGAGGCGAACCGGGGGAACUGAAACAUCUAAGUACCCCGAGGAAAAGAAAUCAACCGAGAUUCCCCCAGUAGCGGCGAGCGAACGGGGAGCAGCCCAGAGCCUGAAUCAGUGUGUGUGUUAGUGGAAGCGUCUGGAAAGGCGCGCGAUACAGGGUGACAGCCCCGUACACAAAAAUGCACAUGCUGUGAGCUCGAUGAGUAGGGCGGGACACGUGGUAUCCUGUCUGAAUAUGGGGGGACCAUCCUCCAAGGCUAAAUACUCCUGACUGACCGAUAGUGAACCAGUACCGUGAGGGAAAGGCGAAAAGAACCCCGGCGAGGGGAGUGAAAAAGAACCUGAAACCGUGUACGUACAAGCAGUGGGAGCACGCUUAGGCGUGUGACUGCGUACCUUUUGUAUAAUGGGUCAGCGACUUAUAUUCUGUAGCAAGGUUAACCGAAUAGGGGAGCCGAAGGGAAACCGAGUCUUAACUGGGCGUUAAGUUGCAGGGUAUAGACCCGAAACCCGGUGAUCUAGCCAUGGGCAGGUUGAAGGUUGGGUAACACUAACUGGAGGACCGAACCGACUAAUGUUGAAAAAUUAGCGGAUGACUUGUGGCUGGGGGUGAAAGGCCAAUCAAACCGGGAGAUAGCUGGUUCUCCCCGAAAGCUAUUUAGGUAGCGCCUCGUGAAUUCAUCUCCGGGGGUAGAGCACUGUUUCGGCAAGGGGGUCAUCCCGACUUACCAACCCGAUGCAAACUGCGAAUACCGGAGAAUGUUAUCACGGGAGACACACGGCGGGUGCUAACGUCCGUCGUGAAGAGGGAAACAACCCAGACCGCCAGCUAAGGUCCCAAAGUCAUGGUUAAGUGGGAAACGAUGUGGGAAGGCCCAGACAGCCAGGAUGUUGGCUUAGAAGCAGCCAUCAUUUAAAGAAAGCGUAAUAGCUCACUGGUCGAGUCGGCCUGCGCGGAAGAUGUAACGGGGCUAAACCAUGCACCGAAGCUGCGGCAGCGACGCUUAUGCGUUGUUGGGUAGGGGAGCGUUCUGUAAGCCUGUGAAGGUGUACUGUGAGGUAUGCUGGAGGUAUCAGAAGUGCGAAUGCUGACAUAAGUAACGAUAAAGCGGGUGAAAAGCCCGCUCGCCGGAAGACCAAGGGUUCCUGUCCAACGUUAAUCGGGGCAGGGUGAGUCGACCCCUAAGGCGAGGCCGAAAGGCGUAGUCGAUGGGAAACAGGUUAAUAUUCCUGUACUUGGUGUUACUGCGAAGGGGGGACGGAGAAGGCUAUGUUGGCCGGGCGACGGUUGUCCCGGUUUAAGCGUGUAGGCUGGUUUUCCAGGCAAAUCCGGAAAAUCAAGGCUGAGGCGUGAUGACGAGGCACUACGGUGCUGAAGCAACAAAUGCCCUGCUUCCAGGAAAAGCCUCUAAGCAUCAGGUAACAUCAAAUCGUACCCCAAACCGACACAGGUGGUCAGGUAGAGAAUACCAAGGCGCUUGAGAGAACUCGGGUGAAGGAACUAGGCAAAAUGGUGCCGUAACUUCGGGAGAAGGCACGCUGAUAUGUAGGUGAAGUCCCUCGCGGAUGGAGCUGAAAUCAGUCGAAGAUACCAGCUGGCUGCAACUGUUUAUUAAAAACACAGCACUGUGCAAACACGAAAGUGGACGUAUACGGUGUGACGCCUGCCCGGUGCCGGAAGGUUAAUUGAUGGGGUCAGCGCAAGCGAAGCUCUUGAUCGAAGCCCCGGUAAACGGCGGCCGUAACUAUAACGGUCCUAAGGUAGCGAAAUUCCUUGUCGGGUAAGUUCCGACCUGCACGAAUGGCGUAAUGAUGGCCAGGCUGUCUCCACCCGAGACUCAGUGAAAUUGAACUCGCUGUGAAGAUGCAGUGUACCCGCGGCAAGACGGAAAGACCCCGUGAACCUUUACUAUAGCUUGACACUGAACAUUGAGCCUUGAUGUGUAG
This 2113-nucleotide ribosomal RNA is filed under the name Escherichia coli. RNAcentral's name for it is "bacterial LSU rRNA". It matches the Rfam family "Bacterial large subunit ribosomal RNA", at positions 1 to 2141 of the family's 2925-position model. The record is from RNAcentral. Lineage: Bacteria; Pseudomonadati; Pseudomonadota; Gammaproteobacteria; Enterobacterales; Enterobacteriaceae.